UUUUCUAGGUUUGUACUUUUAAACAGUUUUGUAGCCUGUUUCCAUCAAUGAGGGGCAAACCUUUAGAAAAGGUUUGGGUUUUUUGUUUGUUUCUGAGAGAUUUUCUUCAGUAUAGACUUUUAGCCACAAAAAAGCAGAGGCAUUAAAGUCGUUUUAUACUUGCAUAGGAAACAUAAACUUGGCUAGUGUGCUAUGCACUAGAUUUGCUUGCUGUGAGACCCUGUGAUUUAUUGGGGCUGAAGUCAGAUAACCAGCAGGAAGCCUUUCUGCUUUAGGGCGUUGGUUGGUACUCAACAAGCCUAUUGAAGAGACAAAAGUCACGAGUGCAGGCAAUGUGAUUACAUGGACUCCCUCACUGAAGGACAGACCUCUGCUGGAAGAAAGCCCUCAGAGAUUACUUGACUGGGAGAAACUGAUCAGCCAGAAUCAAAACGGAGACAGAAGUCCCAGAGCUGUCCUGGUGGCCUGUAAGGCUGCCAGGAAGUCUCCCAACUCCAGAGCUCAGCAUCAUGCCUUGCCUAAGCCCUCUGUCCUCCCCCUGUAGUGCUCAGCUGUGCUGCAAUUCCAGCUGCCCAGAGUGACUCUCUGAGUCAUUGCAGUCUCAGCACCACAUAAUCCUGACAGGGAUGUGAACAGAACAAGUUGAGGCUGCAGGGGGAAAUGCACACACGCCAAAAGAAAAGGGAAGCCAAAGUGGUAGGGAAGUGGUAAGUGUGGUCACUGAGCAAAAACAUGACACACCCAGAAAGUUGAGCAAGGAAAAAAUUGUCCUGUGUCCCUCCACAGUAGCAAUGCAGAGCUUUGAGUGUGACAGAGGGAGCACAACAUUCACGUGGAGAGGUCAUCACCUUCCCGACCAUGGAGAAGAGCAACCAGAGAGAACAAACUUUCAUUGAAAGGGAGGUGAAAGCUUCUAGCAGGUGAUGAUGAUGAUGAUGGACAUUCAGCAAACUUCAGGCUUAUUUAGAAAAACCAAAGGAAGUUUUCAAUAAUUUAUGCUGGAUCUUCUUAAUAAAUAGAAGUGAAGCUUAUUUUUGAACAUUGUAAUCACAGAAAAUGAUAAAGGGUCCCCUUCUAUCCCAAGAAUCAAGGAAAUGAAUAAAGCCUGCCAUGCUGCUUGCUCACAAUUUAGCACAUGGGUACCAAAAUAACAAAGCAUCUCCGACGGUAAUUUUGACCAGAGUGGCUGACCACCAUUAUGGGCUGUGGUCACACAUCAUGACCUUCCUGCAGCAGAGCCAAGUGAAGACACUGCCAGCCCUGCCCUGUUCCCAGCUUUUUAUCUGCAUUGUUUACUGGGGCCACAGACUUGUGGACCUGCUGGCAUAACUAUUCAGUCAGGUGCUCUCUGCUUCAAUAAAAGCAACUCAGAUGAGCUGAUAUGUCAUAAAUAUAAGGCCUUCUCUAGGCUGAGCUGUUGCAUCUCACUGGGUCCUGAGGUGAUCAAUCACCAACAUUUCCAGGGAUCUUGAACCUUACCAGCACUGCCAGGGAUCUCGAACCUCAGCUACCUCUGGCCAAGGAUUGUUACUUAAUGGAGAAGGGAGACCAACUCUUUGCCCCUCAUGCUGCUGAAUUCUAACAUCUCCAUGCUUUUCCCCUGACAACUCUCUCCCUACAAACUCUGCCUUUAAGUCAUGCUAAAAAUUUUCUGUGA
This is a long non-coding RNA of Zonotrichia leucophrys gambelii, 1657 nucleotides long. RefSeq lists it as uncharacterized. NCBI's taxonomy places the organism in Eukaryota, Metazoa, Chordata, Aves, Passeriformes, Passerellidae. The record is from RefSeq and is a predicted model, not a curated record. The transcript has 3 exons.